UACGGGGGGGGCAAGCGUUGUUCGGAAUUACUGGGCGUAAAGGGUUCGUAGGUGGCCUACUAAGUCAGACGUGAAAUCCCUCAGCUCAACUGGGGAACUGCGUCUGAUACUGGCAGGCUAGAGUGUGGUAGAGGAUAGUGGAAUUCCCGGUGUAGCGGUGAAAUGCGUAGAUAUCGGGAGGAACAUCAGUGGCGAAGGCGGCUAUCUGGACUAACACUGACACUGAGACUCGAAAGCGUGGGGAGCAAACAGG
RNAcentral lists this ribosomal RNA (253 nucleotides) under uncultured bacterium. Its description in RNAcentral is "partial 16S ribosomal RNA". It matches the Rfam family "Bacterial small subunit ribosomal RNA", at positions 524 to 776 of the family's 1533-position model. The record is from RNAcentral.